GGGUGUUGGUCCAACAAUUUGCAUUGGUCUCAAACCAAUGACAUGCAUUUUGAAGACCAUGAGUUCGAGGUGGAUGAGGAUGGUGAGGGCAUUGUCGACGUACCGAAGGGAAGAGCAGGCAACUACACCAACGGCGAAGACGUCGUGCUAUGCAAAACUUGGUUGGACGUGUCGAGGGAUCCAUCCGUUGAAGGUGAUCAAAGUAGAGAUGCUUAUUGGCUCCGGAUGAAAGAGCACUUUGAUCUAUGCAACAUGAGCGGAAUUGACUGCUCCGAUCGUUCUCUUCGCUCCCGGUGGUCAACAAUCAACAAGGAUUGUCAACAAUGGGCGGCCGCACAAAAGGCGGUUGACAAGUUGAACCCAAGUGGCACCAAUGAUGAAUAUAGGGCAAGUGCUUCAUCAUUCAUGUUCAUCAUGCUUGUUAUUGGUGUUCCCUGUGCUAACUUGUUUUGUUUUCAUGUAGUUAAAUAUUGCACAAAAUUUGUUCAAAGGAGAGGAGAAGAGGACCAAGAAGGGGAAUAUCAAGAGAGGAAGGCCAUUUGCCUUGCAUCAUUGCUAUGA
RNAcentral lists this ribosomal RNA (561 nucleotides) under Triticum aestivum (bread wheat). RNAcentral describes it as "partial small subunit ribosomal RNA". The record is from RNAcentral. Lineage: Eukaryota; Viridiplantae; Streptophyta; Magnoliopsida; Poales; Poaceae.